UAACCGAAGCCGGGGACAUGGCAACCCGC
Molecule: small RNA, 29 nt
Filed under: Bombyx mori (domestic silkworm)
Lineage: Eukaryota; Metazoa; Arthropoda; Insecta; Lepidoptera; Bombycidae
Description: ovarian small RNA-5653
Source: RNAcentral